Molecule: transfer RNA, 66 nt
Filed under: Ischnura asiatica
Lineage: Eukaryota; Metazoa; Arthropoda; Insecta; Odonata; Coenagrionidae
Also listed under: 1 other name
Description: tRNA-Phe
Rfam family: tRNA
About the family: Transfer RNA (tRNA) molecules are approximately 80 nucleotides in length. Their secondary structure includes four short double-helical elements and three loops (D, anti-codon, and T loops).
Source: RNAcentral
GUUUGAAUAGCUUAAGUUUAAAGCAUUACAUUGAAGCUGUAAUUAUAGUAUUUAUACUUUCAAAUA